RNAcentral lists this ribosomal RNA (253 nucleotides) under uncultured bacterium. RNAcentral describes it as "partial 16S ribosomal RNA". It matches the Rfam family "Bacterial small subunit ribosomal RNA", at positions 524 to 776 of the family's 1533-position model. The record is from RNAcentral.
UACAGAGGGGGCAAGCGUUGUUCGGAAUUACUGGGCGUAAAGGGCGCGUAGGCGGCCUGCUAAGUCGAACGUGAAAUCCCUGGGCUCAACCCAGGAACUGCGUCCGAUACUGGUUGGCUUGAAUCCGGGAGAGGGAUGUGGAAUUCCAGGUGUAGCGGUGAAAUGCGUAUAUAUCUGGAGGAACACCGGUGGCGAAGGCGACAUCCUGGACCGGUAUUGACGCUGAGGCGCGAAAGCCAGGGGAGCAAACGGG